GAGAGAGACAGAGAGAGAGAGAGACAGAGAGAGAGAGAGAGAUUAUGAACUGAUUGAAAAGAUUACCAGCAGUUGGAAUCAGGAUACACAGGAGGAGCCAGAAACGUUAGCAAGCCCUUCAGAAUGCACCUUCUCCGCCACCAAGUAAAAGUGAUGAUUCCUCCCCUUGUAAUACUCGAUUGUCUGUGAUGCAACAUUUUGGCAAGACUCCAAAGCAGAUUUGCGAAGAAAUGCACCCUGAAAUCCAUGCCAAAACUCCACUCUAUAAUAUCGUGUUCAUGCUCUGAGGUCAUUAAGGAAAAAAAUCACAAAAAUAGGUGGAACCCCAGAAUUUCCUCUAAAAAUCAGAAGACUCACAGAGAAAACCCCCCAGAUGCUCUGGUAGAACAAUGGCCAAGCAAAAUUCUCCCGGAGGACAGGGUCUGCGGCAGUCCUUCUGGGUGACCAGGAACUUUCCAAAUGUAGAGGACCCUUUAGAAUGAAGCCUUGAGCAUGAGGGGCAGAUCUCCUCAUCCAACCACCACCUGACUCUGUGUGAACCGGGAACUGUUAGAAUGUCUGUGCUGUGAUGAAAGGUCAUCUGCCUACAAUGUUAUGAUACAGACCUCAAACCUACAAACAUGAAGAACUUCUGCUUCUAGGUUAACUGGUUACCCACUGUAUAAGACACAUCACACACAGUCCAGGAGGCGGAGUUUCUGAGAUACCUAGAAACAGCUUAGAGGCAAAGUGACAAAGCAGCAACAACAAAUAAAACCAAUCCUCUGAAACUGGC
This is a long non-coding RNA of Chlorocebus sabaeus (green monkey), 775 nucleotides long. RefSeq lists it as uncharacterized. Lineage: Eukaryota; Metazoa; Chordata; Mammalia; Primates; Cercopithecidae. The record is from RefSeq and is a predicted model, not a curated record.